GUACGACGGAGCACGUGAAAUUCCGUCGGAAUCUGGGAGGACCAUCUCCUAAGGCUAAAUACUCUCUAGUGACCGAUAGUGAACCAGUACCGUGAGGGAAAGGUGAAAAGCACCCCGGAAGGGGAGUGAAAUAGAACCUGAAACCGUGUGCUUACAAGUAGUCAGAGCCCGUUAAUGGGUGAUGGCGUGCCUUUUGUAGAAUGAACCGGCGAGUUACGAUUUGAUGCAAGGUUAAGCAGUAAAUGUGGAGCCGUAGCGAAAGCGAGUCUGAAUAGGGCGUUUAGUAUUUGGUCGUAGACCCGAAACCAGGUGAUCUACCCUUGGUCAGGUUGAAGUUCAGGUAACACUGAAUGGAGGACCGAACCGACUUACGUUGAAAAGUGAGCGGAUGAACUGAGGGUAGCGGAGAAAUUCCAAUCGAACCUGGAGAUAGCUGGUUCUCUCCGAAAUAGCUUUAGGGCUAGCCUCAAGUGAUGAUUAUUGGAGGUAGAGCACUGUUUGGACGAGGGGCCCCUCUCGGGUUACCGAAUUCAGACAAACUCCGAAUGCCAAUUAAUUUAACUUGGGAGUCAGAACAUGGGUGAUAAGGUCCGUGUUCGAAAGGGAAACAGCCCAGACCACCAGCUAAGGUCCCAAAAUAUAUGUUAAGUGGAAAAGGAUGUGGCGUUGCCCAGACAACUAGGAUGUUGGCUUAGAAGCAGCCAUCAUUUAAAGAGUGCGUAAUAGCUCACUAGUCGAGUGACACUGCGCCGAAAAUGUACCGGGGCUAAACAUAUUACCGAAGCUGUGGAUUGUCCUUUGGACAAUGGUAGGAGAGCGUUCUAAGGGCGUUGAAGCAUGAUCGUAAGGACAUGUGGAGCGCUUAGAAGUGAGAAUGCCGGUGUGAGUAGCGAAAGACGGGUGAGAAUCCCGUCCACCGAUUGACUAAGGUUUCCAGAGGAAGGCUCGUCCGCUCUGGGUUAGUCGGGUCCUAAGCUGAGGCCGACAGGCGUAGGCGAUGGAUAACAGGUUGAUAUUCCUGUACCACCUAUAAUCGUUUUAAUCGAUGGGGGGACGCAGUAGGAUAGGCGAAGCGUGCGAUUGGAUUGCACGUCUAAGCAGUAAGGCUGAGUAUUAGGCAAAUCCGGUACUCGUUAAGGCUGAGC
RNAcentral lists this ribosomal RNA (1145 nucleotides) under Staphylococcus aureus. Its description in RNAcentral is "partial 23S ribosomal RNA". It matches the Rfam family "Bacterial large subunit ribosomal RNA", at positions 412 to 1561 of the family's 2925-position model. Lineage: Bacteria; Bacillati; Bacillota; Bacilli; Caryophanales; Staphylococcaceae. The record is from RNAcentral.